Molecule: ribosomal RNA, 497 nt
Filed under: uncultured bacterium
Lineage: Bacteria
Description: partial 16S ribosomal RNA
Rfam family: Bacterial small subunit ribosomal RNA
Source: RNAcentral
GAUGAACGCUGGCGGCGUGCCUAAUACAUGCAAGUCGAGCGAACGGACGAGAAGCUUGCUUUUCUGAUGUUAGCGGCGGACGGGUGAGUAACGCGUGGAUAACCUACCUAUAAGACUGGGAUAACUUCGGGAAACCGGAGCUAAUACCGGAUAAUAUUUUGAACCGCAUGGUUCAAGAGUGAAAGACGGUCUUGCUGUCACUUAUAGAUGGAUCCGCGCUGCAUUAGCUAGUUGGUAAGGGAACGGCUUACCAAGGCAACGAUGCAUAGCCGACCUGAGAGGGUGAUCGGCCACACUGGAACUGAGACACGGUCCAGACUCCUACGGGAGGCAGCAGUAGGGAAUCUUCCGCAAUGGGCGAAAGCCUGACGGAGCAACGCCGCGUGAGUGAUGAAGGUCUUCGGAUCGUAAAACUCUGUUAUUAGGGAAGAACAUAUGUGUAAGUAACUGUGCACAUCUUGACGGUACCUAAUCAGAAAGCCACGGCUAACUACGUG